UAAUACUUUAUUUAUAGUUUAAUGUUAUUUGCUUGUAAAUAUUUAAUUAGGAUAGAAGUUAGAAUCGAAUCCAUGUAACAAAGUAGCGAGCUGAAGCAUAUAGGUCGUGGAACAUUAUCGGGCAAUACAUCGUACAGUGAGUAGCUACACUUUGAGCAUGCAAAGAAGAUGUGGUCCAAGUUGCCCUCAUCAAGCCCACAAUCACACAAUGAGUUCGCACGAACACCUAUCAUAGCCAGAAAUAACGGAGUACAUACUUUGCCCAAACGUAAACGACAGAUGGUGGAUAUUACCCAUUUCGGAGACGUACGGAAUCGAUAGAACCACGGUUUUCGAGAUAUACGAGGUUGUAUACAGCCAUAAUGUCUACCUGUCACUAAUCUCGAGGUAUCCCAUUGUUCCUGCCAUGUAUUAAAUAGAUCCGACAGUGAACCACUCAGAAGGUCUGUACUGUAAAUAUCCUCUUUUAUUAAUCCAAUGUCAAUAGCUCGUUUUGCCCAUGUAUCAGCCAUCUCAUUGCCGCUAAUACCACAGUGGCUUGGAACCCAUCCGAGAACAAUAUUUAGGCCCCUUAAUUCACACCUACGCAGUACAGCUUUGAUUUCUAAAAUCAAAGGAAAUUUGGCUUUCAGUUUGAAUUGGUUGCCUACAAUAGCCUGUAGGCAGCUUCUACUAUCAGAGAAGAUAAUAGUUUUUUUAAUACUAUGGGUCUCUGCAUAUUUGGCAGCUUCAAGAAUAGCAACUGCUUCACCUGUGAAAAUCGACGCUUGAGGAGGACACCUAAAUGAGAGGACAAUAUUGUACCGAGGAAUCCACACUGCUGCUCCCACACAUCUUGCAGGAUCUACCUUUGAAGCGUCAGUAUAAACCGUGAGUUCCAGUGCAAGUGACCGCAAACGUGGAAGCAGCAAAUGGUUGUAGUAAGAACUGGCUUUGAUUAAAAAUCUAUCGGCAAGAUAUUGUCUGCGGAGAGACAAAGGAGGCUCAACACCUUCCACCUGCAUGGCGUUCUUGGGAGAAGAAUGCAUAGCUCCGAGUAUGAUCCUCAAACAUUUAGCUUGUAUGAGAUCUAAUUUACCUAGUCCAUCCUUAUUGCAAGGUUCCAUUAAAAAUGACCCAUAGUCUAUAUGACUGCGUAUGAUGGCAUUGUACAGUAGCUUCUGACAAUAUGGAUGUGAGCCCCACCAUACACCUGACAAUGCUCGCAGAAUAUUGAUAUUUUUUUCACACUUACCUAUUAUAUACUUGUGAUGUGAAAUGCCAGACAUUUUGUGAUCUAAAAUGACACCUAGGAAUUUUACUGACUCCUUACUUGGAAUCAUAACACCGCCAUAACGGACAUCUGCAGCAGGCAUGGUUCUUCUGCGACUGAACGUGACUACACAACUCUUCGUUGGCGAUAGAGUAAGACCAUGUUCAUCAAGCCAAUCUUUGAGGUAACCCAGAGCUGUGUUCAAACUAGCAGCGGCUUUAUCUAUUGACUUUGCUGAGGUGUAUAAGACCAGAUCAUCAGCAUACUGCAAGAUAUUACAGAAGGAUAAGACAGAUUGCUCCAAGUCGUAGGUGUAGAUACUGUAAAGCAGAGGGCUGAGUACAGAUCCUUGCGGGAGGCCCCGCCACAAAGUCCGAGGUGGAUGAUAAGAAUUACCAUUCCUAAUUUUAAUUGACCUACCCAUAAACAACUUGGUGACAAUAUGUACAAUCUUCGCGGGAAUGCUCAGAUGUAGCAUUUUUGCCCUGAGCACCGGAAGAAGGACAUUGUCGUAAGCCGCAGAGAUAUCUAGAAAACAUCCUAGCAGAUAUUCGUUUUUUGAAAAGGUAAGUCGGAUAUCAGUUGCUAAAAUGUUUAAACUGUCCAUUGUACUACGGCCCUUUCGGAAACCAAAUUGAGUGUCAGCUAGAAUGCCCUUAUUUUCUGCAAACCAUUCCAGUCUAUUUUUAACCAGGUGCUCCAGUAUCUUUCCCAUUGUUGCAGAAAGAGCAAUCGGCCGAUAUGAGCUAGCCUCGUCUGGGUUUUUAGACGGUUUUAGGAUUGGAAUAAUUACUUGGGUCUUCCAGUCUCCUGGGAUCUCCCCCGUGUCAAAGGCAUGGUUUAGGAUACCAAGUAGAUAUUCCUGUGAUGAUGUAUUUAACUUGGACAAGAAACAAUAUGGUAUGCCAUCCUCUCCAGCGGUUCAGGGGAAGGAGAUGGAAGAAUAGAUGAAGGCUUAGUGAUAAUAAUAGGGAAAUGGUCACUGCCAAAUGACUGACGUAAUACCCUCCAGGAUAAUAAAGAAGAUAAACUAGGAGAACAAACAGAUAAAUCGAGAACUGAUUGGGGAUUCUGGCCUGGGUAUACCCGAUGCGUGGGAGUUCCAUCAUUAAUAACUCCUACAUUGAUGUCAUCGAACAGAUCCAGCAGGGCUGACGAAAACGAAUCUGAAUGGUAUGAUCCCCAGGAGAUAUUGUGACAGUUAAAG
This is a long non-coding RNA of Cydia pomonella (codling moth), 2459 nucleotides long. RefSeq lists it as uncharacterized. The transcript is spliced from 3 exons. The record is from RefSeq and is a predicted model, not a curated record. Lineage: Eukaryota; Metazoa; Arthropoda; Insecta; Lepidoptera; Tortricidae.